RNAcentral lists this long non-coding RNA (3615 nucleotides) under Meleagris gallopavo (turkey). RNAcentral describes it as "lncRNA (ENSMGAG00000017919.1)". The record is from RNAcentral. Lineage: Eukaryota; Metazoa; Chordata; Aves; Galliformes; Phasianidae.
GCCGGCAGGUGUCACGGCUAUGGGGCCGGUGUUCCGCGUUCCUCCCCCGGCUCCAUGCGGAGCUGGCGGAUCGUAGCGGUGCCGCGCUCGCCAGCGGUUAAUAUCGGAGGAAUUUGUUCUGGAAGCGGUGCCCGCUCGGAGUUUCCAGCAAAUCCUGGAGCCCUCCCAGGCAUUUAAUCUCGGCGAAGGAAAUGAGAUAUCCAAAUCGGUUUCCCCACCUUCCUCUUGCCAUGAGAGCUCCUCAGCCGAGGUCUGGGUUUUGCGGCAGAAAGCAUCAGGAGCUGCUUCCACCAAUCCAUCAGACACAAGCGGGGGAACCCGCUGCCGAGUUCAUCCUCUCUGCACCUGCUCGUUCAAAACUUGACCUGCCGAAGGAAGAGAUGCCAGGCUGCCGUGUGGGAUGUGCUCCUUUUCUAGGAACAUGGUAAAUAAAUGAGUUUAUUUUACUUUCCGCUGCGCCAGAGUGCUCACAACAAGGGAGGAAUUGCCACCACGAGCAGUAGUAGGCAUCUUUCUCUCUUUGUCUUUGUUGCACCCAAAGGCACGGACACACACAUAAAGGGAGGGACAAAUACAUGUCUUGUUCUCCCCUAAAGCAAUGUCCAUCCAGGAAAGAGGUUGAUACAAGCCAGGGCUACUUUUCUGAGCUGAAACCACGAGGAUUACUCACAUCUUUAAAAAUAAGCCCACGUUGCAAAUCCCCCUUUGGAUUAAGACCUAAACCCUGCAAUUGUCACUUUUCCCACAGGAGGAAAGUGCCAGUGGCUUAACUAAAUACACUGUCCCCAGUGCCCCAGGAAGCUUCCAGCUUGUUUCUCUUUCCCCUUUUACUGGAACUCCUCCAUGUUUCUGCAGGUUGGUUUUACUUUAUGGCUGGUUUGCUUUUUAUCACCGCUUCAUCAUCCAUCCCUUCUCCUGAGCUCAGUGUGGUCUUCAGUCUUCUCCUUGCCAUUUCUUCCCCAUCCUUCUCUGUCCAUUCGCCACAAGCAGACUGCCUCCCGUCCCCUCAAACUUGGGAGAAACGACCUAACACGACAAAAUAAUAUGUGUUUCUGUUAUCAGUGGAAAAAAUAAAGCCAGAUUCAUCCUGGAUUUGUGUUCUGCAUCCAACAAUGUGCAAGAGCUGAUAGAAGUUUUUUUCAUCACAUGUACUUGUAGGGAUUCUCUGCUGUCUCGUGGAGCUUGUGCUGAUGUGCAAUAUGUCCAGGUGGUGUUCCUUGUCUUUGAGAUGAGUUCAAACUUAAGAGAGGACUUACGGUUUUGUCACUUAUGAAUAAAAAACUAAGACUGAGACCCAGGAAAAAGCAACUAUUUCAUGUGAGUCCAUUAUUGUACUUUAAAAUACAAUAAAUAAUGAAACAAUAAAACAUUCACAGCUUUUUAAGCAUUUUGGCUCCUAAUUGUUCACCUGGUUUUGCAUCUCUCUCCUUUUACAACUUUCCUUGCUGGAAAAGAAAUGAAGAUGUUAAACCAAGAGACAAAAAAAAAAAAAAAAAAAAAAAAAAAAGAAUUAAAAACAGUCCCUUUUUAGAAAAGCUGAAUAGAAAAUCAAAAUAUGUCCAUUCAACCAAAACCGUGGUAUGGCCAAGAACCUUUGCCUCCACUGGCUGAUUUAGAUGCCAUUUCUGGGCAGAAGAUGAAUGGGGCUAUAUGGGAAUUAGAUCCAUUCCUGUUGGGUCACGGUGUUAAUCCCAAAGAUCUCCCCUCUGUCAUUUAUUUGGCCCAGAUAGAGAGGUGACAGCUGUGCCUGGACGAUUCCCCAAGAAAUUGGGGAAUUUCUGUGUGGGGAAUUGGGUGGGGAAUUGGGUGAAUCUGUGCUAUUAGCUCCAACUACUAGCUUUAUACAAAGCAGGUCUUUGUCUUAAGAACCCUUGUGGUUUUUAUAGAUCAGUUGGUAUUUUGGAAGCUUUAGACAGCACUGUUGCUUACACGCUUUGAUAAUUGAGUAUAUGUGAUGUUCCUGCUGACAAACUAAGGUUGGUCCCUGUGCCUUCUUUCUGAAGGUCUCUUCCUUCAGCCCACUGGCAAGGCCUCCACUUUUCUGUUAUCCCAGUCCAAGCAAACACAACAGCCACAAACGUCAUUUUACGCAAUUGAAUCACUUCUCCACACUGUGAUACAAGCUCCAGUAGAUCCCGAUUUUAAUCUAAUCUAAUAGGUCCCAAGUUUAAGGUAUGUGAGAUAUUUAUCUGUAUACAAUGAGGAUAUUAAGUGCUCUUAGAUUGGAAUGGCCUUUACACAACACAGAGGGACAUAAGAGAACCUCUGCUGUUGCUGGGUUGUUGGCCUGUUGUGUGGUCGGCUUAUCCCGGGUUUAUCUAAAAGGAACUCCUCUCUGUUUCCACAGAGUUGGCCAUGAAUUGGAUAGCUCCUUUUGGUGCCAAGGAAGCCAGACUUGAUCCUUCCCAAAAGAGAAGGUGUUCGUGGUUGGACACCAACCCAAGGAAAAUUACACAACUCCUCUUCUCACUGAUCCAAUGGUGUUUUGAUCAUCCCUGAUGCUGCCAGCCCAAAGGGCUGCAAAUUAACCAGUUUCAUUCCCAGGCUGUAGAAAUCAGGACAUGAUGCUCUCAUUUAUAACCCCGCGUAAGAUCCUACUGUCUGCAUUUACAACAUGCCAGGAGUAAACCAUUUUGACUCUCAGAGCUGCUUUUUGUCCACUGCCUCCCACCCACUGCACAGAUCAGUGCCUCACAGAAGUCUUAAUUUGAGCUGUUUCCUUAUGUGUCCCUUAGCACAACGCAUGCAAGAUUAAGCUUUUCAAGAAUUUUCAGGUCCAAAAGAAAUGUAUUUCACAAUGAGGAGAAUGAGUGCCAUUAGCAAUAUCAAAGCGUUAUGAUACCCUCUUUGUAGUCACAUUCCAGAGGACUCUUUUAUUCAAAUUCUCUCUUUUCAGGAGCUUCUGCUUCCAAAAUUUCUCCCUGUUGUUAAGUAGCCCAAAGGGGGACUUUGGACUUAGUGCGUAUGUGCGUGUGUGUGUGUGUGUGCACGGUGAGUUUGGCAUAAUUUGUUCAGGAUAUUGCAGUAAUGGGGUUAUUCUAAGCAUGAAACAAGUCAAUUUUCAUGCCUUAUGGAAGCCAUUCUCCCGUUCACCUAAUUUUGGAUUGUUUCCCUUUUGGUGAGCUCCUCCUUGCCAGGGUUCUUUGGGAAUGAUGGCAUUCAGCUCAGUGCUCUGAGUUAGUAGGACCUCACCAACCACAAUUCUGGGGAGGAAAACAGAUGUGUGCCCAACAUACCUUCAUAUCGCAGCUAAGCAGGUGGCUGAGGUCUUCAAGACAGCCAAAAUAUCUGUUGGAAACAUGAAUUAUCUGAUAAAACUGCUACUUGGUGGGAAACUUGUGUUUCCCUGACACACGAAUGCAAGAAAGGAGCACGUCCCGCUGCUGAAGCGUACAGCAUAAAAUAGCAGAAAUGUCCACCGAAAUUUUAACGAUGACCAGAAGAAAGGUUUUUGUCUCUCUGCCCUUUUUCUUGAACCGAACAGUGCCUAACUGUUUGGCUUGUGGUUAAGGAUUAUUUAUGUAGGGUUCUUGUGUAGGUAAAGCGCCAUGUCCUUGGCCCUCUGCCCGUGUAACGCAGCGCAGGAUCUCUAGUUACAAAUUGCAGCUGCAUAGC